Molecule: long non-coding RNA, 567 nt
Organism: Herpailurus yagouaroundi (jaguarundi)
Lineage: Eukaryota; Metazoa; Chordata; Mammalia; Carnivora; Felidae
Exons: 3
Source: RefSeq, a predicted model, not a curated record
CAGCGUUCUGCAAAGCAGUUACGCACGAACAGAAAGUCCCGCGGACGCUCCAUGAUGAGUGGCACCUAAGCUGUCCGGUUCUUCGGGUUUUCCCAGCGCAGAGCCCGGUACUAGAAACUCCCAAGGGACAUACCUGCCUUGUGCAACGGAAUUCCCCUUACGCCCAGAGCCCAGCAGAGAGGAGGCACUCCAUACACGCUUUCCAACCACCAACUGCUGAAGGAGGCUCAGGUUCAGUCAUUCUCUUCAGGCUCCAGGAUAAGCGGGUCCGGUUUGUAGGUUACAGCCUUAUCUGGGGACCCUCGUUUUCCACCCCAGCUACACGUCUGUGAACAAUCGCCUCUCCGGCCCCUGAAAGGAGAGCGAGCGCCCCAUUUCUGCUGAAUGCACGUCUCAGUUCAUCCAAGGCUGGCGGGCUUUUGAUGGCCACAAUGCGAGUUACGCCCAAAGAGUGUCUCUUUGGUCAGAUCGACAACGCUUGGCUUCACGUUUGCAAGUUAAACGGGCAGAAACCCGGCUGAAACUCCCACGCCAGACGCCGGGGACGCUUCCCUCCGCCCAGUUCAG